This 253-nucleotide ribosomal RNA is filed under the name uncultured bacterium. RNAcentral's name for it is "partial 16S ribosomal RNA". It matches the Rfam family "Bacterial small subunit ribosomal RNA", at positions 524 to 776 of the family's 1533-position model. The record is from RNAcentral.
AACGUAGGAGACAAACGUUAUCCGGAGUUACUGGGCGUAAAGGGUGCGUAGGCGGGUCUUUAAGUCAGGGGUGAAAUCCUGGAGCUCAACUCCAGAACUGCCUUUGAUACUGAAGAUCUUGAGUUCGGGAGAGGUGAGUGGAACUGCGAGUGUAGAGGUGAAAUUCGUAGAUAUUCGCAAGAACACCAGUGGCGAAGGCGGCUCACUGGCCCGAUACUGACGCUGAGGCACGAAAGCGUGGGGAGCAAACAGG